UGAAUACUCCCUCCGUCCCAAAAUACUUGUCAUCAAAAUGGACAAAAAAAUAUAUCUAAAACUAAAAUACAUCUAGAUACAUUCCCUUUUAUUCAUUUUGAUGACAAGUAUUUUCGGAUGGAGGGAGUACUUU
Non-coding RNA from Triticum aestivum (bread wheat), 133 nucleotides. The record is from Rfam. Lineage: Eukaryota; Viridiplantae; Streptophyta; Magnoliopsida; Poales; Poaceae.